AGGAUUGUCGCAUCGGGCGAUCCUGACGACGCCACGCCGCGUGAGGGAUGAAGGCUUCGGAUUGUAAACCCCUGUCGCCGGGACGAAAGGUCGGGGCAAAAAUCAGGUCCGACAGGUCCCGUGAGGAGACCCCGUAUAUCUCUGCCCCCGCCACCGGAAUAUAA
RNAcentral lists this ribosomal RNA (164 nucleotides) under uncultured bacterium. Its description in RNAcentral is "partial 16S ribosomal RNA". The record is from RNAcentral.